RNAcentral lists this small RNA (518 nucleotides) under Curvularia hawaiiensis. RNAcentral describes it as "eukaryotic LSU rRNA". The stretch from base 149 to 302 matches the Rfam family "5.8S ribosomal RNA". The record is from RNAcentral. Lineage: Eukaryota; Fungi; Ascomycota; Dothideomycetes; Pleosporales; Pleosporaceae.
AAGGCCGUUCGCGGCUGGACUAUUUAUUACCCUUGUCUUUUGCGCACUUGUUGUUUCCUGGGCGGGUUCGCUCGCCACCAGGACCACAAUAUAAACCUUUUUUAUGCAGUUGCAAUCAGCGUCAGUAUAACAAAUGUAAAUCAUUUACAACUUUCAACAACGGAUCUCUUGGUUCUGGCAUCGAUGAAGAACGCAGCGAAAUGCGAUACGUAGUGUGAAUUGCAGAAUUCAGUGAAUCAUCGAAUCUUUGAACGCACAUUGCGCCCUUUGGUAUUCCAAAGGGCAUGCCUGUUCGAGCGUCAUUUGUACCCUCAAGCUUUGCUUGGUGUUGGGCGUUUUUGUCCCCCCCAAAAAGGGGACUCGCCUUAAAAGGAUUGGCAGCCGGCCUACUGGUUUCGCAGCGCAGCACAUUUUUGCGCUUGCAAUCAGCAAAAGAGGACGGCAAUCCAUCAAGACUCCUUCUCACGUUUGACCUCGGAUCAGGUAGGGAUACCCGCUGAACUUAAGCAUAUCAAUAA